GCGGGAAUAGCUCAGGGGUAGAGCGUCACCUUGCCAAGGUGAAAGCCGCGGGUUCGAAUCCCGUUUCCCGCUCCA
RNAcentral lists this transfer RNA (75 nucleotides) under Caldicoprobacter sp. RNAcentral describes it as "tRNA-Gly". It matches the Rfam family "tRNA". Rfam says of the family: Transfer RNA (tRNA) molecules are approximately 80 nucleotides in length. Their secondary structure includes four short double-helical elements and three loops (D, anti-codon, and T loops). The record is from RNAcentral. Lineage: Bacteria; Bacillati; Bacillota; Clostridia; Caldicoprobacterales; Caldicoprobacteraceae. RNAcentral also lists the same sequence under 1 other name.